GAUGAAGAACGUAGCGAAAUGCGAUAAGCAAUGUGAAUUGCAGAAUUCAGUGAAUCAUCGAAUCUUUGAACGCAUCUUGCGCUCCUUGGUAUUCUGAGGAGCAUGCCUGUUUGAGUGUCAUUAAAUUCUCAACUACACUGACUUUGAAUUGGUGUGGCUUGGAUUUGGGGGGAAAAUUGUUGUGGGCUUUUUGUAUAGUCUGCUCCCCUGAAAUUGAUUAGCGGUACCUUUGUGGAACUGUCUACAGGUGUGAUAAUUAUCUACAUCUUAGACAUCUGCUGGAAUGCUGCUCUCUAAACCUUACUUGUAUUGACAAUCUUGACCUCAAAUCAGGUAGGACUACCCGCUGAACUUAAGCAUAUCAAUAAGCGGAGGA
This 376-nucleotide unclassified non-coding RNA is filed under the name soil metagenome. RNAcentral's name for it is "partial contains 5.8S ribosomal RNA, internal transcribed spacer 2, and large subunit ribosomal RNA". The stretch from base 1 to 120 matches the Rfam family "5.8S ribosomal RNA", at positions 35 to 154 of the family's 154-position model. The record is from RNAcentral.